AGCCACCCCAGACAUUACAAACAACUGCAACAAAUGAGUCUGGCAGCAUAAAAAAUGUCUAGUGUUCAAGUCUUCAUAGUGAGACCCAUACAUCUUGUACACAAUAUGUCGAAUGUUUGUUGCAGCAGGUGAAUCAAACCCAAAGACACUGGACAGUCUGUGAAAGGGAGCAAGAAUUGCAGUUCUGAAGGCCCCUGACUUUGGUUGUUUACAGAGUUCAAUCCUGUUUAUUGUGCUCCUUGGUACCUUCUUCAUCUGCAUAUCCUGAAGGUUCUUCCCCUGGUUUUAGGAAUCUGCCUACAUAUUCAUAUUCUUCUUUAAACUGCAUUUCCCAUUCUCGAACACUCUCCAUUUGCGCUGCAUUCAAGUCUGAGAGAUCAUCAUAUUCAUCUCUAAGUGCAUCCUUAUCUAGGCAAAAUGUUGCCAGUCUUCUGGAGGCAUCCCUACCAGCAAAUAUUCCAUAUGCACCCGCGGGGCCCUACAACUUGCGGCAUUUGGUCACAGCAAAGACUUUCCCAUUGACCUCAAGCAGGAGGCGCAGCUUGUGCAACUCGACCGACCUACUGGUGAAGCUACUUGAGGCUGAAGUCCCACAUCUCCAUGCGCUGCAGGGAGGGGACCAGGCUCUCCUUCCCCGCCCUGGCCCCUCCUCCCGCCCCAUUCUUGAACACUCAGGGUCACUUGGCCACUGAGCCACAUCCCCAGCCCUAUUUUGUAUUUUAUUUAGAGUCAGGGUCUCACUGAGUUGCUAAGCAACUUGCCUUUGCUGAGGCUGGCUUUGAACUUGCGAUCCUCCUGCCUCAGCCUCUGGAAUCACUGGGAUUACAGGCGUGGGCCGUUGUGCCCAGUGGUAUUUGUUCUUUUUAAAAUAUUUCUUGCUGAGCUUCUUGUGUUUGUGACUGGUGUCCUUCGUCAAUUUCAAGAAAAUCAUUGCUGUUUAUCUCUUCAGAUCAUGCUUUUGUCUUUUUCUCUCCUCUUGUGACUUACGCUAUGUUAGACCUUUGGAGUACCUCUGACAUGGCUCCUGUGUUCUGAUUUUCCAUUCUUUUUCUUUGUGUGGGUUGGAACUGUUUGCUACCUUGUAUCAUGACAGUUAAUCUUGGUUUCUGCUGUUGGACUGCUAUCACAUGUAGUAACAAGGCCCUUAAUAUCAGAUACUGCCUUUUAGAGUGAUAGGAUGUUGACAUGACUUUUAUCUAUUGAUUUCAAAUUUAGGAGUCUGUAGGAGAAUCAGGAAAUUUUUGUCUUUCCAUUUCUUCUUCAUUUGGGGGUAUAUUUUAAUUACAGUUGGCACUCAGCAGUCUUUUCCUUUUCUCAUGGUUGCUUUAUUGUUUGUUUUGUUUUGUUUUGUUUUGUUUUUUCAAAUUGUCCAGCUUUAUCAUGUUUCCUAAUUUCCUAUUAUAUCAGGGAUUAUGAAUUAGGGAAAUUUUGAAAGAUGUUCUAGGGCUGGGGAUGUGGCUCAAGCGGUAACGCGCUCGCCUGGCAUGCGUGCGGCCCAGGUUCGAUCCUCAGCACCACAUACAAAC
This 1526-nucleotide long non-coding RNA is filed under the name Marmota monax (woodchuck). The record is from RNAcentral. Lineage: Eukaryota; Metazoa; Chordata; Mammalia; Rodentia; Sciuridae.